RNAcentral lists this ribosomal RNA (548 nucleotides) under uncultured organism. RNAcentral describes it as "SSU rRNA". It matches the Rfam family "Bacterial small subunit ribosomal RNA", at positions 505 to 1058 of the family's 1533-position model. The record is from RNAcentral.
GUGCCAGCCGCCGCGGUAAUACGUAGGGUGCGAGCGUUGUCCGGAAUUACUGGGCGUAAAGAGCUCGUAGGUGGUUUGUCGCGUUGUUCGUGAAAACUCACAGCUUAACUGUGGGCGUGCGGGCGAUACGGGCAGACUAGAGUACUGCAGGGGAGACUGGAAUUCCUGGUGUAGCGGUGGAAUGCGCAGAUAUCAGGAGGAACACCGGUGGCGAAGGCGGGUCUCUGGGCAGUAACUGACGCUGAGGAGCGAAAGCGUGGGGAGCGAACAGGAUUAGAUACCCUGGUAGUCCACGCCGUAAACGGUGGGUACUAGGUGUGGGUUCCUUCCUUGGGAUCCGUGCCGUAGCUAACGCAUUAAGUACCCCGCCUGGGGAGUACGGCCGCAAGGCUAAAACUCAAAGGAAUUGACGGGGGCCCGCACAAGCGGCGGAGCAUGUGGAUUAAUUCGAUGCAACGCGAAGAACCUUACCUGGGUUUGACAUGCACAGGACGCCGGCAGAAUGUCGUUCCUUGUGGCUGUGUGCAGUAGAGCAUGAGGGCGAUUCG